Molecule: ribosomal RNA, 1300 nt
Filed under: Escherichia coli
Lineage: Bacteria; Pseudomonadati; Pseudomonadota; Gammaproteobacteria; Enterobacterales; Enterobacteriaceae
Description: bacterial LSU rRNA
Rfam family: Bacterial large subunit ribosomal RNA
Source: RNAcentral
GGUGGUCAGGUAGAGAAUACCAAGGCGCUUGAGAGAACUCGGGUGAAGGAACUAGGCAAAAUGGUGCCGUAACUUCGGGAGAAGGCACGCUGAUAUGUAGGUGAAGUCCCUCGCGGAUGGAGCUGAAAUCAGUCGAAGAUACCAGCUGGCUGCAACUGUUUAUUAAAAACACAGCACUGUGCAAACACGAAAGUGGACGUAUACGGUGUGACGCCUGCCCGGUGCCGGAAGGUUAAUUGAUGGGGUUAGCGGUAACGCGAAGCUCUUGAUCGAAGCCCCGGUAAACGGCGGCCGUAACUAUAACGGUCCUAAGGUAGCGAAAUUCCUUGUCGGGUAAGUUCCGACCUGCACGAAUGGCGUAAUGAUGGCCAGGCUGUCUCCACCCGAGACUCAGUGAAAUUGAACUCGCUGUGAAGAUGCAGUGUACCCGCGGCAAGACGGAAAGACCCCGUGAACCUUUACUAUAGCUUGACACUGAACAUUGAGCCUUGAUGUGUAGGAUAGGUGGGAGGCUUUGAAGUGUGGACGCCAGUCUGCAUGGAGCCGGCCUUGAAAUACCACCCUUUAAUGUUUGAUGUUCUAACGUUGGCCCCUUACCGGGGUUGCGGACAGUGUCUGGUGGGUAGUUUGACUGGGGCGGUCUCCUCCUAAAGAGUAACGGAGGAGCACGAAGGUUGGCUAAUCCUGGUCGGACAUCAGGAGGUUAGUGCAAUGGCAUAAGCCAGCUUGACUGCGAGCGUGACGGCGCGAGCAGGUGCGAAAGCAGGUCAUAGUGAUCCGGUGGUUCUGAAUGGAAGGGCCAUCGCUCAACGGAUAAAAGGUACUCCGGGGAUAACAGGCUGAUACCGCCCAAGAGUUCAUAUCGACGGCGGUGUUUGGCACCUCGAUGUCGGCUCAUCACAUCCUGGGGCUGAAGUAGGUCCCAAGGGUAUGGCUGUUCGCCAUUUAAAGUGGUACGCGAGCUGGGUUUAGAACGUCGUGAGACAGUUCGGUCCCUAUCUGCCGUGGGCGCUGGAGAACUGAGGGGGGCUGCUCCUAGUACGAGAGGACCGGAGUGGACGCAUCACUGGUGUUCGGGUUGUCAUGCCAAUGGCACUGCCCGGUAGCUAAAUGCGGAAGAGAUAAGUGCUGAAAGCAUCUAAGCACGAAACUUGCCCCGAGAUGAGUUCUCCCUGACUCUUUAAGGGUCCUGAAGGAACGUUGAAGACGACGACGUUGAUAGGCCGGGUGUGUAAGCGCAGCGAUGCGUUGAGCUAACCGGUACUAAUGAACCGUGAGGCUUAACCUUACAACGCCGAAG